Molecule: long non-coding RNA, 1454 nt
Organism: Bubalus bubalis (water buffalo)
Lineage: Eukaryota; Metazoa; Chordata; Mammalia; Artiodactyla; Bovidae
Exons: 5
Source: RefSeq, a predicted model, not a curated record
UGGUUAAGAUGGACUUUUAGCAAGGAUUCCAAAUUUCAUAAACCUUGUAAAAAGAUAAAAGUGUAGCAUGGUGAUGCUAUUCUUUGCUGGGUACAAGAGAACAUCUUACAGACUUUAAAGUGUUAAUACAGUUUUCAAAACAGAAUGGAGGAACCAGGCCAGAGGCCUAGUCACCCUGACCACUCUUCCCAGAAAAAACCCAAUCUGGGAUCUCAGGAUUUCUCUAAGGGCAGCAGGAGAAUCCUGGAUGAACAACACGUGUGCCCUGGCAUUCUGCCCCCACCUCCAUCCUAGUCCAUAAAGGGUCUGGCUCACUCCACGUGUGGGUCAAGCCCCACGCCUUGUGAAAGACUCCCUUCUCUCCCAGCUCAGAGGAGCUGUGGAGUGGCCCCCAGAGUCCAUCUGAGAGUCUGAAGGCUUAUUUGCAGCAAAGCAGGCUUCUGGAGCUGAAUUUGGGGCUCCAAUCUGACAUCUGUUAAGGAGGGACUGCUGAGAGAAUACUAGCAAACAAGAGGGAUGCUAUAUUAUCCAUCAUGUACUUAUGAAUAUGGACCUCAAGUGCUCUAAGGUUGUGAUCGUGCUUUGCUGUUGAUACCCACAAGUGCAAGACUUUCAUAGAGCAUGCAGGUGAGAAAACUGAGGUAUGAGGAAAUUAAAUAGCUUACAUGGUACAUAGUUGGUAAUUGCUAUAAGUGAAACAGUUCAAAUUGGUUUCAAACUCAACCAGACUUCAAGAUCACAGUGGACAUGGCACCUGAAAUGUAAAGAUGAGGGGGAGCCAUGAUGACAGCUGAUCCCUCCCCUGGAAUUUGAAGUCCUUGCUAAUGACAUGACUGUAAUUCUCAGAUCUGUCAACAAGGAUCUGACAUGCUUUUUCAGUCCAGUAGGGUAAUGUGAGUUAUAUUCAUAUGUGUUUUCAGAACUUUAUACCUAUUUUGAAGUAACUCUGUUCUGUUGGGGUAUGAACACCAAGGACCAUUCAGUGGGUCCCAAAUGAUUUGGAGAAAGAGCUAGUUCAUGUUAGAAAGUGAGGGGAAAAGUGACAUUUUUUAUGCAGAUACUAAAUAACUUAACAACUUAGGGAUACAAUAUUACAAGAAAUACAGUCUAAUUAAACAUAUCCCAAAUGUCCUCCUGCCUUCACAAGACCAGCACAUGGUCUUAGUCUUACAAAAUAGCUGUGUUAACUCCUGUCUCCUCUUUCAUUUUAGGAAGUCAAUUAGCUUUGAGUUUGGCUAAGAAGCAUCACUCUCUUCUCUAUUUUCUCCCUCCUCCCUUCCUUAUGUCAGAAAAUAUCUAAUAUUUUCUAUUUACCAUUACAUUAAAGAAAUGCUGAUGUAUUUUCAGAGAUUCAGUCUUCAAAACCAAUGUACCACAACCAAAGGAACUAAUGGUUUUAAGUCAGAUUUUUAAAGAUAAUUUUAAAGUCAAUAAAAUUAAUCCAUUAAAACCAA